CGAGGUCCUAAAGCCGGUAGCUCGUCAACACCACUGGUUCUGGGAUUGUGUAGCAGAGUCACGGGUGCUGCGUGAAAUAAACAGGAGGGCAGACGCUGGCAGAGCCGCUGUGUUUUGAUGUACGUGUGUGGGCGUGACGCCGUGUUGUGUGCAAAAAGUGUCUGCUGGGCACUGUUACCAUAGCAGAGAGGGCAGUUAUUCUCCAGAAGCCAUCAGCCACAGUGUAGUAGCCAUCUUGAAAAGGCAGUGCGUCGCCCCAAUCGCCCUUAUGGACAAGCCGCCCCUGUCCAGAUGUACUGUUGAGUGUCGGCCCUGAAGAUGCAUCACAACACAAGUGUCCACAGAAGGGUGGGAGAGAGGAAGAAGGGCGAUGCUGCAAACGGUAGUCAAAGUCUGUAAAUGGCCCAACAAUCCUUCACAACCAAUAUGCACCUUUUUGAAGUGGGUCCAUUCCAGACUCCCAAGCAGAUGGAAUUCCGCAGGCUGAAUCCAGUCAUUACAAAGCAAUAUUUCAACCAUCAAAAAUGGAUGGAAGGAUGUCAUUCUCAGGAGUAAAUGGAUCAAUUCAAGCCCAGCUUUAAAAAACACUCACCCUGCUGCACCUCCUUUCACCCAAUAGGGAGGCAGCCAAGGCAGACAGCAUUUCAAUGAGUUCUGCAAAACACAAUGCAAGCUGUAUGAACAGUCUGUUCAACAUGUUUGUAGAAGGUCAAAUAAAAAACAGA
This is a long non-coding RNA of Clupea harengus (Atlantic herring), 725 nucleotides long. The record is from Ensembl. Lineage: Eukaryota; Metazoa; Chordata; Actinopteri; Clupeiformes; Clupeidae.